RNAcentral lists this ribosomal RNA (465 nucleotides) under Vreelandella stevensii. Its description in RNAcentral is "partial 16S ribosomal RNA". It matches the Rfam family "Bacterial small subunit ribosomal RNA", at positions 338 to 795 of the family's 1533-position model. The record is from RNAcentral. Lineage: Bacteria; Pseudomonadati; Pseudomonadota; Gammaproteobacteria; Oceanospirillales; Halomonadaceae.
CCUACGGGGGGCAGCAGUGGGGAAUAUUGGACAAUGGGGGGAACCCUGAUCCAGCCAUGCCGCGUGUGUGAAGAAGGCCCUCGGGUUGUAAAGCACUUUCAGUGAGGAAGAACGCGUGGUGGUUAAUACCCAUCAGGAAAGACAUCACUCACAGAAGAAGCACCGGCUAACUCCGUGCCAGCAGCCGCGGUAAUACGGAGGGUGCGAGCGUUAAUCGGAAUUACUGGGCGUAAAGCGCGCGUAGGUGGCUUGAUAAGCCGGUUGUGAAAGCCCCGGGCUCAACCUGGGAACGGCAUCCGGAACUGUCAAGCUAGAGUGCAGGAGAGGAAGGUAGAAUUCCCGGUGUAGCGGUGAAAUGCGUAGAGAUCGGGAGGAAUACCAGUGGCGAAGGCGGCCUUCUGGACUGACACUGACACUGAGGUGCGAAAGCGUGGGUAGCAAACAGGAUUAGAUACCCCGGUAGUC